CCUACGGGUGGCUGCAGUGAGGAAUAUUGGUCAAUGGGCGUAAGCCUGAACCAGCCAAGUCGCGUGAGGGAUGAAGGUUCUAUGUAUCGUAAACCUCUUUUAUAAGGGAAUAAAGUGUGGGACGUGUCCUCUUUUGAAUGUACCUUAUGAAUAAGGAUCGGCUAACUCCGUGCCAGCAGCCGCGGUAAUACGGAGGAUCCGAGCGUUAUCCGGAUUUAUUGGGUUUAAAGGGUGCGUAGGCGGCCUGUUAAGUCAGCGGUGAAAGUCUGUGGCUCAACCAUAGAAUUGCCGUUGAAACUGGGAGUCUUGAGUAUGGUAGAGGCAUGCGGAAUGCGUGGUGUAGCGGUGAAAUGCAUAGAUAUCACGCAGAACCCCGAUUGCGAAGGCAGCCUGCC
RNAcentral lists this ribosomal RNA (395 nucleotides) under uncultured bacterium. Its description in RNAcentral is "partial 16S ribosomal RNA". It matches the Rfam family "Bacterial small subunit ribosomal RNA", at positions 338 to 730 of the family's 1533-position model. The record is from RNAcentral.